UACAGAGGGGGCAAGCGUUAUUCGGAAUUAUUGGGCGUAAAGGGCGCGUAGGCGGCUAUCCAAGUGGCGGGUGAAAUCCCUCGGCUUAACCGAGGAACUGCCUGCCAGACUGGAUGGCUCGAGACCGGGAGAGGUGAGUGGAAUUCCCAGUGUAGCGGUGAAAUGCGUAGAUAUUGGGAGGAACACCAGUGGCGAAGGCGGCUCACUGGACCGGAACUGACGCUGAGGCGCGAAAGCGUGGGGAGCAAACAGG
Molecule: ribosomal RNA, 253 nt
Filed under: uncultured bacterium
Lineage: Bacteria
Description: partial 16S ribosomal RNA
Rfam family: Bacterial small subunit ribosomal RNA
Source: RNAcentral